Long non-coding RNA from Oncorhynchus keta (chum salmon), 1484 nucleotides. RefSeq lists it as uncharacterized. The record is from RefSeq and is a predicted model, not a curated record. NCBI's taxonomy places the organism in Eukaryota, Metazoa, Chordata, Actinopteri, Salmoniformes, Salmonidae. The transcript is spliced from 2 exons.
ACUUAGAUGAAAAUCAGAUCAAAUUUGAUCAAUGUGUGCAGAAAUUCAGGUAAUUCCAAAGGGUUCACAUACUUUUUCUUGCCACUGUAUGUGAUUGUAUACAAAUGUAAGCAUGGUUUGAAAUGAUUGUUGUAGUCAAAUGUUAUAUCUGUAUGGGCUUCUUGAGGUCAAUUUGCAAAUGAUUUGUAAUUAUGUUCUGCCCCCCUGACCAUCUGCUUAAGAGAAAAUGGGCCCACAGCUGAAUCUAGUUGAUGAUCCACACUUUGUCUUAUUGUUUAUAUUACAUAAUACUUCACUGUAGUUGUUGUGGUUCUGAAUCCUUUUCCUUUCUCCUGUCUGUCAGAUCCAGAUGCAGACGAUGAGACCAAGAAGAACAACAGAUGCAGCCUGGUCUGGGAGGGCACGGCUAAGGAGCGUAACUACGGGGAGAUGAAGUUUAAGCAGUGUCCUACAGAGAACAUGGCUAGAGAACACUUUAAGAAGCACGGAACAGAACACUACUGGGACCUGGCUCUGAGCCAGAGUGUGCUGGAGAGCACUGAUGACUGAAGGGAGAGCGUCACUAGAAAGCUGAGGAGGCAGAAGGAUCCCUUACCACUGACCCAGGGUCCGAUUAGUUGUUCAUCCUCAUAAUGGUUAGGAGUUAUCUGAUCCUGGAUCAGUGGUGAAGCGCAUUGUUACCUCGUGCACCAGAGACAUGCAAAGGUCAGGGGUGAUUCUACCCCUCUUACAGAUACAUUCAGAACCCCAACCCAGCCUUGUAUGGCUGACUGCUUGCCUGUUAUUGUGUGGUGACUUGACUGAAGGCAGGGAGGGUAGACUGAUUGGGAGUGAAUGAAUGAAAGGAAGUGCUGGUUAGAGAAUGGAUGAGGGCGAGGUCGUAGAUUAGGAGGGAUAUAUGGGGUGUGUAUAGAUAUUAUUGAGCGAGGUGUACACUGUUCUGCAAUCACAUUUUGUGGAAGAGUUGAUAACUGUGAGACCAUCUUUCUAGCAGUUAGGGUGUCAUUCAGGCUGUCAGUUGCUGUGUGUCAGUGUUUAAUACUUUGUCUGACAUCUCCACUGUGUGAGUGUUCUAUAGCUUGCUAUUGACUUCUCUACCUGACUACAGUUCCUGAGUAAGCCCAGCUGUGGUCCAAAUACAGUUCUGAAAUAUUGCCGCAAUGUACUAUUCCCAAGCAAAUGCCCUGUUUCGAAUAAACAAAAACCAACCUAUCAACGUAGAAGUAACUAAAGACUUUGAAACGUAUGAGAUCGUACAUUUGACUAUGGUUUGUGUCAUGUUUUUGGCCUUUUAUUGUAUUUUUAAAGGAAAUUGAUACAAUUGUUUUUUGUGGAAUGAUCACAUUUAGUGGAAUGACCACAUUUAGUCAAGUAUUGACUGACCCAAAAUUGUUUUAUUUUCUUUAGGUGUUUGUUUUGAAUAAAGUGUCUUCCCUUAAUGUUUGAUCCUGUAUAUUUAGUCAAUAAACACAUGCAGUACAAUA